This 481-nucleotide ribosomal RNA is filed under the name uncultured bacterium. RNAcentral describes it as "partial 16S ribosomal RNA". It matches the Rfam family "Bacterial small subunit ribosomal RNA", at positions 28 to 523 of the family's 1533-position model. The record is from RNAcentral.
GACGAAUGCUGGCGGCAUGCUUAACACAUGCAAGUCGAACGGUGAAGGGGAGCUUGCUCCCUGGAUCAGUGGCGAACGGGUGAGUAACACGUGGGUAACCUGCCCCUCACUUCGGGAUAACCAUCCGAAAGGCUGGCUAAUACCGGAUACGAAGCCUGGAGGCAUCUCCGGGUUUGGAAAGUUUUUCGGUGAGGGAUGGACCCGCGGCCUAUCAGCUUGUUGGUGAGGUAAGGGCUCACCAAGGCGAAGACGGGAAGCCGGCCUGAGAGGGCGAGCGGCCACGCUGGGACUGGGACACGGACCAGACUCCGACGGGAGGCAGCGGUGGGGAAUAUUGCACAAUGGGCGAAAGCCUGAUGCAGCGACGCCGCGUGGGGGGUGAAGGCCUGCGGGUUGUAAACCUCUUUCAGUAGGGACGAAGCGCAAGUGACGGUACCUAAAGAAGAAGCACCGGCUAACUACGUGCCAGCAGCCGCCGUAA